This is an RNA transcript of Malus domestica (apple), 2070 nucleotides long. It is a transcript of the gene named BTB/POZ domain and ankyrin repeat-containing protein NBCL, with no coding region annotated. The record is from RefSeq and is a predicted model, not a curated record. NCBI's taxonomy places the organism in Eukaryota, Viridiplantae, Streptophyta, Magnoliopsida, Rosales, Rosaceae.
ACCCCAGCCGCCCAGAACAGCCACCCAAUUUGCUCUCUCUCCAAAAUAUCUACCAACACACACAAACACAAUAUCACUCCGUUGAGACAAAAGAAUCUGUCAAAAAACAGUAACAGUAGAGAGAGAGUUCAUCUUCUUCAUCACAUCCUUCAACAACAAAACCAAUUGAUCCUGAAAGCAAAAAAUUACAGAUAAAGAUGAACCCAUUACUGUUUUAGCCCCUCUUUUCAACAAUCCCUCCCUUUCUCUCUCAGCCCUAAAACAGUUUGUGAAUAAUUACCACCAUAUCCAAAAAGCAUCAUAUCAUGAGCAGCCUUGAAGAGUCUCUAAGAUCUCUGUCCUUAGACUACUUGAAUCUGCUUAUCAAUGGUCAAGCCUUCAGUGACGUCACCUUCAGCGUCGAGGGUCGUCUCGUCCACGCCCACAGGUGCAUCCUGGCAGCCCGGAGCCUCUUCUUCCGGAAAUUCUUUUGUGGGCCUGACCCACCGUUGGGUCUAGACCCCUCGGGGUCCAGGAUGAGUCCCGGUGGCACAUCGUCAUCGUAUCACCGGGGGUCAGGUAGUUCACCGCAGCAGCAGCAGGUGAUACCGGUGAACUCGGUGGGGUACGAGGUGUUCUUGUUGCUGUUGCAGUUCUUGUACAGUGGACAAGUCUCGAUAGUGCCUCAGAAACAUGAGCCGAGGCCUAAUUGUGGAGAGAGAGGGUGUUGGCACACGCAUUGCACCUCCGCCGUUGAUCUUGCCCUUGACACUCUUGCUGCCGCUAGAUCCUUUGGUGUUGAACAACUUGCAUUGCUCACUCAGAAGCAAUUGGCUAGCAUGGUGGAAAAGGCCUCCAUUGACGAUGUGAUGAAAGUCCUAUUAGCUUCCAGGAAACAAGACAUGCAUCAGCUUUGGACAACGUGCUCUCACCUUGUUGCCAAAUCUGGCCUCCCACCAGAAGUCCUUGCCAAGCACCUCCCCAUCGAUAUCGUGGCCAAAAUCGAAGAGCUUCGUCUCAAAUCCUCCAUCGCCCGCCGUUCAAUGAUGCCUCAUCACCACCAUCAUCACCACCAUGACCUCGGGGCAGCUGCGGAUCUUGAGGACCAGAAAAUCCGUCGAAUGAGGCGGGCAUUGGACUCGUCAGAUGUCGAACUUGUCAAGCUCAUGGUAAUGGGGGAAGGCCUAAAUCUCGAUGAGGCAUUGGCAUUACACUAUGCAGUCGAAAAUUGCAGCCGGGAAGUUGUGAAAGCGUUACUAGAACUUGGUGCAGCUGAUGUAAACUACCCGGCUGGGCCAGCCGGCAAAACCCCGCUUCACAUUGCUUCCGAAAUGGUGUCUCCGGACAUGGUGGCAGUCCUACUCGAUCACCACGCUGACCCAAAUGUCCGAACGGUCGAUGGGGUUACUCCUCUGGACGUACUCCGAACCCUAACUUCAGAUUUUCUAUUCAAGGGGGCUGUCCCGGGACUAACCCACAUUGAACCUAACAAGCUCAGACUCUGCCUUGAGCUCGUACAGUCCGCUGCUCUUGUUCUUUCACGCGAGGAAGGCAACAGCAAUGCAAACAACAAUCCUAAUUCUUCGAAUUCCACGGCGAUUUACCCACCGCUAAGCGAUGAUCACCAUAGCAGUGGCAGCAGUGGCAGCAACAUUGGGAACCUUAACUUGGAUUCUAGAUUGGUGUAUCUGAAUCUUGGAGCAGCUCAUCAAAUGGGGUCUAGAAAUAUGGAGGGCCAUGAUCAUCAAGAUCAUGAUCAUCAUCAUAGGGCGCAAAGUGGCUGUGACCCAUCAACAAUGGUUUUCGUUCAUCUUCAUAUGAAAUUGGAGGCAUUGGGGUGAAUGUUGAUGAGACAUUUGGAGAAUCUGAGAUCUUUGCUAAUGCAAUGCAUGGGGUGGAUGGAGAUCGGAGACGCAGGUCCUCAAAAUGAAGACCUUAGGAGAGCAAGACUCACCGAUCAUUAGGGUUUGUCUGGUAUCCUUCUUGGAUUCAAUUUUUUGUUUUUAAAACUAUUGAGUAUUAAGUAAUUUAACUACAUUCAUUAUUUUCAAAAGAAAAAUUAGAUCCGAGAAGAAGGAUACCAUACCCUUA